AUAGUUUAGUAUCCCUCUUCCCUUGAAGCUCAAUGUGGUAUGUGACUCUUCUGCUUCUCCUCCUUCAUUCUUAGUUCCUCUUUCCUGUUUUGCUAUUAUGUCGAAUACAGAAGAGGUGAAGCUCUCUAAGGAACUAUGGAAUUUCAUUCGCGCUAAGUCUAUCACUGUCAAUGGAAAGUCAUACAGAUGUUGAUAACAGAGGUCCAUCAACUCGGCAACUCGUAGGGGAUUCGCAUGAGAAGAAGUGACAUUGUAAACUUUGAACUCGGAGAAACCACAACCAUGCUUUGCCAUUGCUGCUAUAGUUGCGUUCACAACCAUAUCAACAGGUAUAAUGUCCGCGAAAGAUUGAGAAUCUCCCCAGAGGCCAGAAAUCUGGCCUUUGCCAUAGGCCAAGAUUAUUGGAUCACUCAUCCUGAUUUUUAGAAACCAUAAAAACAUGAAUCAAGAGCUGAUCUAAUCCCUUAGUCUUUAACAAUGAAAAUCUUUAACCUUAUUCCUUGGAGCCAGCCAGGGAAAGGCUCCUUGUAAGAGCUUUCUAUAAUGCUAGGCCUUAUGAUCGCUACAGGCACAUCUUCUCGCAUGGUUUGGAUUAAUGGGUUUCUUAUAAAUGAAAAUAAUUAGAAAAAAUAAAAAAGCAAAUAAAUGGAUGAGAGAGACAAGAGAACGUCUCUUCUCUUAAGGGCAACCCUAUUAAUGGGAUCUAAACAAGUAUCCAACAGUGAAAACAGUGAAAAAAAUUGAAAAAGGAGGAGAGGGACAAAGAAAUGACUCUGGUUUUAGAACCUCAACAAAAAAAACCAACAUAGUUUUUGUCUAUAUGUUGCUUCAUGAUUAGCUACAUCAUUAUUUGUGAUUUAAAAUUAAUUAUUAACUAAAUUAAAUUCAAUUAGAAACCCAUGGAACUGCUUAACGAGGAGACUUUGUCCAAAGUUACAAGAGACGCUUGCCAUUUGUCUAUUAUUUAUUGGCUUAUUUUUUUUGAUAUUAAAAUUUUUGUUUGAGAAACUGUGUAAAGUUUGGAUCACUGCAGGUGCCCUAAUAAUGUGCAGAGAGUAUUAUUUCCCCUUCAUCCUCACCUUUGGAUACCAAGUUCUUUCAGAUUCUUGAUUUCUCCACUGCCAUGCAACUUUCUCACAGCUUCUGAAGCUAAUUUCAGCUCAUGUUCGAUGUUCAAGUCAGAAGUUAUAUUUUCUCCAUUAGAUUUUUAGUUGGCCGACUUUAAACAAUUAAUUAAAAUUAAUCUUAAAGUAAACAAGAAACUGAGAUCCCUUCUUACAGACAUCCUUCUCGCAUAAUCAGUUUUCUUAAUUACAUACCAUGUCCGACCAUUAUCUCAUGAUCUCAAGCAAAUUAAAAAAACAUUUUCUUUUUCGAAAAAAAUAAAUAAAGAAAGAGAAGAUAGAAGAGAGAAAGGGAUCGCAAUUUGCAAACAUCUGUAAUAAUUAUUCUUUGUGAUUUCGAGAGGAGAGGACAGCUCCAAUCUUUCUGUCUCUCUCCCUCUCAAUCAAGUGUAUUGAAAUUGUGAAUCUUUCUUCGGAGGAAACAAGAGAUUUGUCCUGUUUCUGGGAUUUUUUGUCCUGAUUUGAUCCCAUCUCUGACACCUUUGUCUAUAGAUGGUUUUCUGAUUCUGGGUUCUUCCAAAUUUCUUAACUUUGUUGUUUGUUCCUCCUCCUUUAGUUAUGGCUUGGAAUGAGACCAAACUCAAGAGGCUCUAUCAAGUUUGGAGAGGAAGCAAUGUAAGUUCUUGUCUAAUGUCGCUUUGGUGUUUGAUUCAUAUACUCUAUAGGUUCAGUGGUUGUUAGUAUCUUUGAGUCUUGAUUGGUUCAUAUAUAGAAACUUCAGGUUCUUAAUUUGUGAUUUUGACUUUGAUUUUUCUCCAGAAAUUUCUUUGUGGAGGGAGGUUAAUCUUUGGUCCAGAUGCAUCAUCUCUAUACCUAUCGACCAUCUUGAUCCUCGGUCCCUCGGUGAUGUUCUUUGUAAAAAUGUACUUGAAAAUGGCUGAUCCUCUCACCAAGAAUCGAAACCUCUGUGUUCCAAUUCUCUCUGUCGCUUGGAUACUCACCCUUUUGGUAUGUCUUCUUCUUUCCCAUCUCUGUAGAUGAUGACGACUUUAUUGUCUUAAUGUAAACUAAAGCUUCAAUAGUUUUCUUUCAGGACAUAUUUUUCCUCUUCAUGACAUCUGGUAGAGAUCCUGGGAUUGUGCCUAGAAGUCUUAGACCUCCUGAAUCAGAUGAUGUACCUGACUCAACUACUCCUUCCAUGGAAUGGGUUAGCGGUAGAACCCCAAAUAUAAGGCUACCAAGGGUUAAAGAUGUAACUGUUAAUGGCCAUACCGUAAAAGUCAAGUUCUGUGAUACUUGUUUGCUUUACCGUCCACCUAGAGCUUCUCAUUGUUCCAUCUGCAACAACUGUGUACAGAGGUUCGACCAUCACUGCCCUUGGGUUGGCCAGUGCAUUGGAGUGGUAAGUCAGAAAACAUAUUCUCGAGUACUAUGUUGUCUAUGUGUUUUGAAAUUGUUUUUAACUCUUUGCAGAGAAACUACCGGUUCUUCUUCAUGUUCAUAUCAACAUCAACCACUCUGUGCGUAUAUGUGUUUGUGUUCUCUUGGUUGAACUUAUUCCAAAGACAUAUGGAUGAGAAGAUUACCAUCUGGAAAGCAAUAUCCAAAGAUGUUCUGUCUGAUAUUCUCAUUGUUUACUGCUUCAUUACCGUUUGGUUUGUUGGUGGGCUCACUAUAUUUCAUUCCUACCUCAUCUGCACUAACCAGGUGAUUAGAAAUAUAACCAUCCUUUGUGUUUCUCUCUCUCUCUUUUUGUGUGUUCUAAUUCUGAAUGUGUUUUUGUGCAGACUACUUAUGAGAACUUCCGUUACCGAUAUGAUAAGAAGGAGAAUCCAUACAACAAAGGAGUUUUGGGGAACAUAAGGGAAAUAUUUCUAUCUAAGAUUACUCCAUCCAUGAACAAGUUUAGAUCAUUUGUGAAAGAAGAAGAUUACAUGAUGGUUGAAACUCCUACAUCAAAUCUUGGUGAAAGUCUAGUGAGCUCAAAAGAGAAGAUUGAUAUUGAGAUGGGAGGAGGAGGAAGGAUUGUUGAUGAGGGUGGAAAAACUUACUCACUCCCUGAGAUUCUCAGGAAUCUAAACUAUGAAGACCUUGACGAUGACUGUGAGGAAGAUGACUUGAAGGCCAAGGAUCAUCACCACCACCUCCACCAUCAUCAUCAGAAUGAGGAAAUCAUCCCUCCUUUUGACCCUUUCUUCACCAAUGACAAUGGUGUUAACAAGGAUGAGAAAAAUGGACAAGAAUCAAGAGGAUCUUCAAGUGAUAAUGGAGAUUCAGGGAAACACGUUGGAGUCUCCACUGAUGAUGAAGAAAAAGCUGAAGGGUAUGAACAAAAAUGGAGUAUGGACAGUGUCAUGAACAUAAACGCAGGAUCUGAAGAUGGAGCAAGCUCUCCUCAAUCUACUUCCCCAAUGCUUCGUAAAUAGAGGUAAUGAAAAUUAAGGAUUAUCCCUCUCUGUUCUGUGUUGCCUUGCUUUACAAGAUACCAUUUUUUUUUACUAACACUGUCUUUGUUAAAAAAUGAAGGGCUUGAAGCUGGAGAAGUGGAGAAUGUUCUUUGUCAUUCUUUUAACUGUGUUUCAUAUAAUUGUGGAGAAAGAAAAAUCCAGAGAAAUAAUAAACAUUGUAGGUUUUGUGCGUUUGAGGUGUAUUAGUUUUUUGUUUUCAUUUUAGUUGUAUUUAUAUUCACAUAUUUUUGUUAUUAAAAUGAUUUGGACCACGAAUUGUAAUGUAUACGAUUGUACUUGAAUAUUAUUUUCUUUUUAUUUAUUUGUUGGUUGAUUGAUUUUCAUUUUCCAUGUGUUAUUUCUCUUCUAGGCAUAGGCAUGUGCGUUCGGGUUUCGGGUUUACAGUCAAAGGUUCUAAUUUAAUUUUUUUUAGAGCGGAUCGGUUUUAGAUAAUAUCACUUCAGGUUUAGUUCAAAAUUGUGUUGCAUUGUAAAAUCUAUAAAGUAAUCAAAUAUCUGUCGGUUUUAAGUUUUUUGGUUCGGUUCGGAUUAUACUAAAAUAACAUACAAAAUUAUGAAACAGAUCAUGUGAAACAUAAUCCUUAAUCUGAAAUGAAAACUACUAGGCACACAUCCAAUCCGAAAAGGACACUCCAUAGUUCAAUAAAACCAAAAAAACAACAUUCCAUAGUUCAAUCACAGCCGAAACAACAAUAUUCGAUAGUCGAAUAAUACCUGAAGAAAACAGUGAAAUGACUAGAGUCCAUUAAUUCUUAUACACCUGGAAAUUUGGGUUGCGAUAAAAACGAGUUAUGCAAAUUAAUGCAAAAAGUUACAAGAAACCUUCACCAUUAUGCAAAUAUAAUCAUCAAACAUGAAAAUCUUCAAAAGGCAACUCAUAACAGUGUAAUUAGACGUGAAUCCUUAGAAAACAAGUAAAAUUAUCAACAGUAAAAUUGUCUAGAUAAUAUUUGUGAUAGUUCACAAUAUCAUAACUAACUAGCAUUGAAUAAAUCAUAUAGUAUACUUCAGUUUCCAUAAAAUAAUAUUUUAUAUAAAUAAUUUCAAAUUUAUGUAGUUUAUUUACGAUAAAAAUUUGUUUUAGUGCAAUUUGAAAUUAUUUCUCAAGUUAUAUUUUAAUUUUAAUUUUUUUGUUAUUAAGCAGAUUGUCCCUUAGAACUUGCAUGAAAAUUUUAUAGUAAAUAAACAAUAGGUGAUACACUUGGUGAACUCAAGCAGUUGUACCAAUCAAAUCACUCUCUUUCAACUUAACUUUUCCUUACAGAUUUCUCUUUUGAGACCUGGAAGAUGAACGUUCACAAUGUAAUGCUCCCAAUCAAUGCUUUUUAUAUCGAACUCAAAUAUUUUUCUCUCUUCCAUUGACAUCUCCUGAAUAAGACUCCUCGUAUUGGUGUCAUCAAACCUAGGAUAUUGACCAAUAUUCAGUAAUUUAAUAAAUAAAAAAAGUCCAAGCUUGUUACUUACCGAGCUUUAAAAAAUGUGUAAGGCUCAUAUGUUCUUGCUAAGGACACAAAAUAGUUUAGUAUCCCUCUUCCCUUGAAGCUCAAUGUGGUAUGUGACUCUUCUGCUUCUCCUCCUUCAUUCUUAGUUCCUCUUUCCUGUUUUGCUAUUAUGUCGAAUACAGAAGAGGUGAAGCUCUCUAAGGAACUAUGGAAUUUCAUUCGCGCUAAGUCUAUCACUGUCAAUGGAAAGUCAUACAGAUGUUGAUAACAGAGGUCCAUCAACUCGGCAACUCGUAGGGGAUUCGCAUGAGAAGAAGUGACAUUGUAAACUUUGA
This 5308-nucleotide long non-coding RNA is filed under the name Brassica napus (rape). RNAcentral describes it as "long non-coding RNA (BNAP_LNC006912)". The record is from RNAcentral. Lineage: Eukaryota; Viridiplantae; Streptophyta; Magnoliopsida; Brassicales; Brassicaceae.